This 500-nucleotide ribosomal RNA is filed under the name uncultured bacterium. RNAcentral's name for it is "partial 16S ribosomal RNA". It matches the Rfam family "Bacterial small subunit ribosomal RNA", at positions 30 to 523 of the family's 1533-position model. The record is from RNAcentral.
AUUGAACGCUGGCGGAAUGCUUUACACAUGCAAGUCGAACGGCAGCACGGACUUCAGUCUGGUGGCGAGUGGCGAACGGGUGAGUAAUAUAUCGGAACGUGCCCAGUCGUGGGGGAUAACGUAGCGAAAGCUACGCUAAUACCGCAUACGAUCUACGGAUGAAAGCGGGGGAUCGCAAGACCUCGCGCGAUUGGAGUGGCCGAUAUCAGAUUAGGUAGUUGGUGAGGUAAAGGCUCACCAAGCCGACGAUCUGUAGCUGGUCCGAGAGGACGACCAGCCACACUGGGACUGAGACACGGCCCAGACUCCUACGGGAGGCAGCAGUGGGGAAUUUUGGACAAUGGACGCAAGUCUGAUCCAGCCAUUCCGCGUGCAGGACGAAGGCCUUCGGGUUGUAAACUGCUUUAGUACAGAACGAAAAGGUCUCUAUUAAUACUAGGGGCUCAUGACGGUACUGUAAGAAUAAGCACCGGCUAACUACGUGCCAGCCGCCGCCGUAA